Molecule: long non-coding RNA, 844 nt
Filed under: Hordeum vulgare
Lineage: Eukaryota; Viridiplantae; Streptophyta; Magnoliopsida; Poales; Poaceae
Description: long non-coding RNA (HVUL_LNC001063)
Source: RNAcentral
GGCCACGACGCAAAGUGGAUCAUCCACGAACACGACGCCACUGUCGGCGGCCUGCAGCACCUGCCUGCGCCUCGCGCCACCGUGUCCGUCGCCGUCCAGUGCCUCACGCAUGACCCAACCCCGACGCGAGCCGACGCUCGACAGCAUCCGCGCGCCUCUUCGAGUCGUGCGUUGAAUCGACCUCGUCUCCAAGUCGUCGAUCCGAGUCAAGCUACUAUUGCGGCCUCGCUUGGCCACAGACUCCGCCUUGUCAUAGACCGUGUUGUUGCGCCUUGCGCUCGGAUUGUGCCGCUCCGCCGCGUCACGCUGCGCCUCGCCAUGGCCACCUCGUCGUCCGCACACCACAUCCAUCCAUCACGGAGGUGAAAAACAUCCAUCACGCACCAUCCAUCCAUCACACAGACACUGCCCACGCCCAUAACUCACAAAAACAAUCCAUCCAUCGUCCAAGCAUACAUCCAUCUACCACCGGAGCACACAUCUAUCUAUCUCUCGUGAACAGGUGAAGAGAUCGUAUCAGGAGGAUCGCCCGCGCGGCCAUCAUCUCGUGUGGCAGAGAUCUUUUACAUGCUUGGAGGAAGAUGGCGAAUGCAUGGUCGUCGAUUGUACGUGAAGGUCAAUGGUCAAUGCAUGGUCAAAAUAUCACUCGUGCAAUUCCAAUGACAGUAAAGUUGGUGCAAUUCCAAAGAUAAUAAAGUUGUUGCAUCCGUCAUCAGACGGAAUUAUUAUCAGGUGGUACUUUUUCUAAUAAACGUAUUCACAUGAGUACGUUCUAUCAAAAACUUUUGUACUUUUCACUCGUACGAAUUUGUACGCAUGAUAAAUGGAAGGUUACACAAGCGUG